Molecule: ribosomal RNA, 253 nt
Filed under: uncultured bacterium
Lineage: Bacteria
Description: partial 16S ribosomal RNA
Rfam family: Bacterial small subunit ribosomal RNA
Source: RNAcentral
UACAUAGGUGGCAAGCGUUGUUCGGAAUUACUGGGCGUAAAGGGCGCGUAGGCGGUUCGUUAAGUCCUGGGUGAAAUCCCCCGGCUCAACUGGGGAACUGCACAGGAAACUAGCGGUCUUGAGUUCGGGAGAGGGAAGCGGAAUUCCGGGUGUAGCGGUGAAAUGCGUAGAUAUCCGGAGGAACACCGGUGGCGAAGGCGGCUUCCUGGACCGACACUGACGCUGAGGCGCGAAAGCUAGGGGAGCAAACGGG